CCUUAUACCAUUGGCAAGUAGAAAUCACACAUUAAUGUAACACAAUGUAAUAAGGAUCUCAUGAGUAUGAUAAUGCUACACGUAGUUUGAAAUGACCGUCAAAUUUAUAUGUAACUCUAUGUUUCCUAGUCGUUGAUAAUUGCGGUAAAUUUUUAGUUAUUUGUGGUGAUUUCAGUUUGUAUAAGACAUAAUCUGUCAGUUAGAUGUGCAGUUAUUGUGAAUUUGGAACUUGAACCAUAACAUUGACAAUUAUUCAAAGUACCGUUGAAAUAAAAAAAAAGUGAAAGUGGUAAAAUACUUAAACAAUCUUUAAAGAAAUAGCCAAAAGUACAGCUUUAAAACGUUGUCAUCAUCAUAGUUUUGUAUUGUUUGGUUUUUUUUUAUAUUUCACAACCUGUUUCACUUUUAAAAGUUGUUAAACCGAUUAUAAUUUCUAACAUUUGUAAUUUCAUAUUGCUCCUUAUUCAUUUUUUUAUCUAUUUUUGGUUUGUUUUCUGUUUCAAAGUCUUUGAUACUUUUUUCAUACGUUUACAUCUAGAAAAAAAAUACUGAAUAAUAACCCCUAUCUUUUUUUAUAAAUAAAAUAAAAAUUUGCCGAAACUUAAAUCAUCAGACCUACUUUGAAAUAAAAGUUUCUUAAAAUAGAACAAAAAUGACGAAUAAAAAAAAACUGCCUUUUGACUAUAACAAUUUAUAUUGUACUAACUAGUGCGAAAACCCGUACCAAAACUGUUAAGCUGUAAAUAAGCUUGCCGUCUGACCCGUGUGACCAUAACACAACCAUAACACAUCGGUGAAAUUCGUUAUUCAUUCGGUAAUUUGAUCGAAUGUUUCCGAUUCCCCUUUGUCACCAUUUGUUAAUUGUUAAAACAUGUGGGUUUAGAAAUUGUUAGAAGACAAGAAUAUGCACGAUGCUUGUUGAUAAAUGGUUACUACAACAUAUAAUAAAUUAAUGAUUGGCAACUGAGGUAAAAAGGCUAUGAAGCGUGUAUGGCACAUUGAAUAAGGGAGCAACCAUUUGAUGAGAAAAAGCGCAUAAAUGAUAGAAUGCUUAAAAAAAAAUGACAAAAUAAAUCAAAAUGAAUCAAAAUAUCAGACCAGUAAAAUGAUCCAAGUCUUUUUAAUGUCUCAAAAUGUUGAGAUCUUUUGCAACUUUCUUUCUCGUCCGCAAUCUGCUGUUUGCUCCGUAAUUGAAAAAUUAGAAUUGUUCUUAAAGGCAAUACAAAUGUACACAUAUGUUAUAAGACUGGAUAUUACGUCAAAUAGAAAAA
Mytilus californianus (California mussel) is the source of this 1271-nucleotide long non-coding RNA. RefSeq lists it as uncharacterized. The transcript has 2 exons. The record is from RefSeq and is a predicted model, not a curated record. Lineage: Eukaryota; Metazoa; Mollusca; Bivalvia; Mytilida; Mytilidae.